This 494-nucleotide long non-coding RNA is filed under the name Gallus gallus (chicken). RNAcentral's name for it is "uncharacterized LOC107053185, transcript variant 2 (LOC107053185)". Lineage: Eukaryota; Metazoa; Chordata; Aves; Galliformes; Phasianidae. The record is from RNAcentral.
GGGGAUAGGGGGGGGUUCCCGAUGGUGGAGUGUUGGCUCCUGGCUCUUCGCCUCCAGCCUCCUCCGCUCCGCCGUUUCCUCCUCGGAUUCGAGCGCGUCGAAGACGGCGGCUCCCACCAGCAGCCAGCUCUGCUCAGUGCCGGCGGAUGGCUCCGUUCCCUGAUGUGAUGGCUGCUGACACCGAGCUGUUCCUGACCUGUGAGCUGCUCUGCCUCUGCAGCAGCAGGGUGGCUGCAGUCCCUGAGGACGAGACACGGGUCUAGGGGGUGGGCAACCUCCUUCCCUCUUCGACAAACCCACCAGGGCAGCCAACAUGUGGUGUGGGGUGCAAGGACCCUCCCCAAUGCCCUCCCGUGCCCCAGAACAAACCCUGCCCAGCAGGAGCCGCGUGAUCCCUUAAAAACCCAAUGAAAACACCAAAACGGUUGUUCGUGCCAUCUGGAGCAAAAGAAAAUGGAAUUUUAAUUAAAAACUCAUGAGCUCGUUGCUAUAAA